This 687-nucleotide ribosomal RNA is filed under the name Acinetobacter baumannii. RNAcentral describes it as "bacterial SSU rRNA". It matches the Rfam family "Bacterial small subunit ribosomal RNA", at positions 11 to 692 of the family's 1533-position model. Lineage: Bacteria; Pseudomonadati; Pseudomonadota; Gammaproteobacteria; Moraxellales; Moraxellaceae. The record is from RNAcentral.
GUUUGAUCAUGGCUCAGAUUGAACGCUGGCGGCAGGCUUAACACAUGCAAGUCGAGCGGGGGAAGGUAGCUUGCUACUGGACCUAGCGGCGGACGGGUGAGUAAUGCUUAGGAAUCUGCCUAUUAGUGGGGGACAACAUCUCGAAAGGGAUGCUAAUACCGCAUACGUCCUACGGGAGAAAGCAGGGGAUCUUCGGACCUUGCGCUAAUAGAUGAGCCUAAGUCGGAUUAGCUAGUUGGUGGGGUAAAGGCCUACCAAGGCGACGAUCUGUAGCGGGUCUGAGAGGAUGAUCCGCCACACUGGGACUGAGACACGGCCCAGACUCCUACGGGAGGCAGCAGUGGGGAAUAUUGGACAAUGGGGGGAACCCUGAUCCAGCCAUGCCGCGUGUGUGAAGAAGGCCUUAUGGUUGUAAAGCACUUUAAGCGAGGAGGAGGCUACUUUAGUUAAUACCUAGAGAUAGUGGACGUUACUCGCAGAAUAAGCACCGGCUAACUCUGUGCCAGCAGCCGCGGUAAUACAGAGGGUGCGAGCGUUAAUCGGAUUUACUGGGCGUAAAGCGUGCGUAGGCGGCUUAUUAAGUCGGAUGUGAAAUCCCCGAGCUUAACUUGGGAAUUGCAUUCGAUACUGGUGAGCUAGAGUAUGGGAGAGGAUGGUAGAAUUCCAGGUGUAGCGGUGAAAUGCGUA